Molecule: ribosomal RNA, 488 nt
Filed under: uncultured bacterium
Lineage: Bacteria
Description: partial 16S ribosomal RNA
Rfam family: Bacterial small subunit ribosomal RNA
Source: RNAcentral
AUUGAACGCUGGCAGCAGGCCUAACACAUGCAAGUCGAACGGUAGCACAGAGAGCUUGCUCUCGGGUGACGAGUGGCGGACGGGUGAGUAAUGUCUGGGAAACUGCCUGAUGGAGGGGGAUAACUACUGGAAACGGUAGCUAAUACCGCAUAACGUCGCAAGACCAAAGAGGGGGACCUUCGGGCCUCUUGCCAUCAGAUGUGCCCAGAUGGGAUUAGCUAGUAGGUGGGGUAACGGCUCACCUAGGCGACGAUCCCUAGCUGGUCUGAGAGGAUGACCAGCCACACUGGAACUGAGACACGGUCCAGACUCCUACGGGAGGCAGCAGUGGGGAAUAUUGCACAAUGGGCGCAAGCCUGAUGCAGCCAUGCCGCGUGUAUGAAGAAGGCCUUCGGGUUGUAAAGUACUUUCAGCGGGGAGGAAGGUGCUGAGGUUAAUAACCUCAGCAAUUGACGUUACCCGCAGAAGAAGCACCGGCUAACUCCGUG